GUGGUCUGUUUGUAUUGAGAGUUCAAGAAGGGAAAGGGUGUGUUUGAGGCGCGGUGGCGAAGUUUUGUUUCCCAUGGUCAAUAAAGCACGGAGCUAUGUGUAAUAUGUUUGAAAGUCAUAUUUUAUGUGCUCACGACUCAUUAAUUGCCCCAUCGUGUCAUUGCCCUUCGACUCCCAAGAGUCCAAUCCGAGUUACUAAUUUUUCAUAUUUCGUUCGCCGGUGCCACAAAACCAGUCAUUUAUGGGCUCAUGCAUGUCGUGUAAGGCUGGGAAGGAAGCAUAUGCAUACACCACCUCUCCGGCUGCGCACAGGUUCCAGUCCUACUGCACUAUGGACGACGUGCUACCCAUCGCGGAA
Molecule: long non-coding RNA, 358 nt
Organism: Schistocerca americana (American grasshopper)
Lineage: Eukaryota; Metazoa; Arthropoda; Insecta; Orthoptera; Acrididae
Exons: 3
Source: RefSeq, a predicted model, not a curated record